This 379-nucleotide ribosomal RNA is filed under the name uncultured eukaryote. RNAcentral describes it as "partial 18S ribosomal RNA". It matches the Rfam family "Eukaryotic small subunit ribosomal RNA", at positions 592 to 975 of the family's 1831-position model. The record is from RNAcentral.
CAAUAGCGUAUAUUAAAGUUGUUGCGGUUAAAAAGCUCGUAGUUGGAUUUCUGCUGAGAACGACCGGUCCGCCCUUUGGGUGUGUAUCUGGCUCUUUCUUGGCAUCUUCUUGGUGAACGUUGCUGCACUUGACUGUGUGGAGCGCUACCCAGGACUUUUACUUUGAGGAAAUUCGAGUGUUUCAAGCAGGCAUACGCCUUGAAUACAUUAGCAUGGAAUAAUAAGAUAGGACCUCGGUUCUAUUUUGUUGGUUUCUAGAGCUGAGGUAAUGAUUAAUAGGGAUAGUUGGGGGCAUUCGUAUUUAACUGUCAGAGGUGAAAUUCUCGGAUUUGUUAAAGACGGACUACUGCGAAAGCAUUUGCCAAGGAUGUUUUCAUUG